UNCGAUUGCGAAGGCAGCUUGCUGGACUGUAACUGACGCUGAGGCACGAAAGCGUGGGGAUCAAACAGGAUUAGAUACCCUGGUAGNCCACNCCGUAAACGAUGAGUGCUAGCUGUUAGCGAUAUACUGUUAGCGGCACAGAGAAAUCGUUAAGCAUUCCACCUGGGGAGUACGCCGGCAACGGUGAAACUCAAAGGAAUUGACGGGGGCCCGCACAAGCGGAGGAACAUGUGGUUUAAUUCGAUGAUACGCGAGGAACCUUACCUGGGCUUAAAUUGCAGUGGAAUAACGUGGAAACAUGUUAGCCUUCGGGCCGCUGUGAAGGUGCUGCAUGGUUGUCGUCAGCUCGUGCCGUGAGGUGUCGGCUUAAGUGCCAUAACGAGCGCAACCCUCAUCGAUAGUUACUAACAGGUUAAGCUGAGGACUCUAUCGAGACUGCCGACGUAAGUCGUGAGGAAGGUGGGGAUGACGUCAAAUCAGCACGGCCCUUACGUCCAGGGCUACACACGUGUUACAAUGGGGGGUACAAAGGGCAGCUACCUGGCGACAGGAUGCUAAUCUCAAAAACCUCUCUCAGUUCGGAUUGGAGUCUGCAACCCGACUCCAUGAAGCUGGAUUCGCUAGUAAUCGCGCAUCAGCCACGGCGCGGUGAAUACGUUCCCGGGCCUUGUACACACCGCCCGUCAAGCCAUGGGAGCCGGGGGGACCUGAAGUAUGCAACCGUAAGGAGCGUCCUAGGGUAAAACUGGUGACUGGGGCU
This 760-nucleotide ribosomal RNA is filed under the name uncultured prokaryote. Its description in RNAcentral is "bacterial SSU rRNA". It matches the Rfam family "Bacterial small subunit ribosomal RNA", at positions 708 to 1482 of the family's 1533-position model. The record is from RNAcentral.